GGCGCUGUGGCGGAGUGGUUAUCGCGCAAGCCUAGAAAGCUUGUUCCUUCGGGAGCGCAGGUUCGAGUCCUGCCGGCGUCG
Molecule: non-coding RNA, 81 nt
Organism: Epicoccum nigrum
Lineage: Eukaryota; Fungi; Ascomycota; Dothideomycetes; Pleosporales; Didymellaceae
Source: the annotation of a GenBank genome assembly